UCUUAGGAUGUCCCUCACAUGGUGGUGCACUUACGGAUGGACAUCGCAAGUGAAGAAGACUAAGCUUCCCAGUCUCAAUUACUUAAAGAGUUCACUGACAUUUGCAAUAUCGACAAGGCAUGGAUAUUUAAGUCUGAAAAUGGUAAAGGCUCCAAGUCUGUUGAAACAAGAAAGGGAAGAGAUUCUAAGAUGUUUUGCUGUUGCUUUUUCUUGAAUCUCUUGGGCCUACCAAAACCUGCAAUGAAAGGCUGCAUUUCCAUUCCGCCAAAAACAUACUAAUGUGACUGGAUUUGUAUCCGAGGAUAUAGCUUUGAAGUGUCCUGAAAAUAUUUUCAAGGGACGAGGUGUGAUUGCUUCUACUUUUAAGGCUGUCCCUCACAUGGUGGUGCACUUAGGGAUGGACAUCGCAACUGAAGAAGACUAAGCUUCCCAAUCUCAAUUACUUAAGGGGUUCUCUGACAUUUGCAACAUCAACAAGGCAUGGAUACUUAAGUCCAAAAAUGGUAAAAGCUUCAAGUCUGUUGAAACAAGAAAGGAAAGAGAUUUUUGUGAAGGUUGCAUCUUCUCUUGAUCGUGAAGAUUAAUGUGCACUUGACUUUGCACAUGUGUCAUAGAAGAGGCUAAUGCCUUGUUUUACUCAAUUAUGUUGUUUAUAAGUGCCUGUGUUUUAGUUUAAGCAACGAUUACCUUACAAGAUGUUUUUUGAACAAUUAUUGAAUGCUGUUCAGCACUUUUGGAAUAUGAAUAUGAUAGCUUGCCCUUCUUGGUUUGUCAUGGUUGAUUUGCAAUUGGUGUUAUUUUGUCAAUGUAAUGCAUUCCCUACUUAUUAUUGGUCUUCCAAGCAUUGUAAGGUACAAUUUUGAUACAAACAUGCCAAGCACCUUAUAUUUUUUUCUAGUUGGUAUUGGCUAUUCUGAUGCAUUUUGAAUCAAUGGAUCUCAUUUUAUUUUGGUUGCAUUUACAGGAGCUUUCAUGUAAUCAAACAACUUUUUUCUGCAAAUAACUCUAUGCAAUUUCUUGUAGUUUGGAGAGACAGGAUUGAGAAUACUGCGUUGGCAUUGGGAAUUUUUGUCAUGCUCAUUGCUUUAGUAUUCUGUUUUAGGGUAAAGGCAAAAGCCUCGAUUCUUUAUGAUUGCAGUUGUUAUUGUUGUUGAUGCAUAAGUUUCAGACAAGAAAACCUCGGGCUUUUGCGUUUACCUUUGUUCUUGGAGUGCACCCAACCUUUUCGACAAUCUUAUUCCUAUGUUGCCCUAUUCUUGGUAA
Molecule: long non-coding RNA, 1263 nt
Organism: Eucalyptus grandis
Lineage: Eukaryota; Viridiplantae; Streptophyta; Magnoliopsida; Myrtales; Myrtaceae
Exons: 4
Source: RefSeq, a predicted model, not a curated record